CCUACGGGUGGCAGCAGUGAGGAAUAUUGGUCAAUGGCCGGAAGGCUGAACCAGCCAAGCCGCGUGAAGGACGAAGGUGCCAAGCAUUGUAAACUUCUUUUGUCAAGGGACAAAAUCAGGCUCGAGAGCCUGACCGAGGGUACUUGAAGAAAAAGCAUCGGCUAACUCCGUGCCAGCAGCCGCGGUAAUACGGAGGAUGCGAGCGUUAUCCGGAUUUAUUGGGUUUAAAGGGUGCGUAGGCGGACUGUUAAGUCAGCGGUAAAAGCCCGGGGCUCAACCCCGGCGAGCCGUUGAAACUGGCGUGCUUGAGUCCGCGGAAAGCAGGCGGAAUUCGUCGUGUAGCGGUGAAAUGCUUAGAUAUGACGAAGAACCCCGAUUGCGAAGGCAGCUUGCUGCAGCGGAACUGACGCUGAUGCUCGAAAGCGCGGGUAUCGAACAUGAUUAGAUACCCCCGGUAGUC
This 460-nucleotide ribosomal RNA is filed under the name uncultured bacterium. Its description in RNAcentral is "partial 16S ribosomal RNA". It matches the Rfam family "Bacterial small subunit ribosomal RNA", at positions 338 to 795 of the family's 1533-position model. The record is from RNAcentral.